This 4277-nucleotide long non-coding RNA is filed under the name Homo sapiens (human). Its description in RNAcentral is "HSALNT0330035". Lineage: Eukaryota; Metazoa; Chordata; Mammalia; Primates; Hominidae. The record is from RNAcentral.
UGUGCCACUGCACUCCAGACUGGGUGACAGGAGUGUGACCUUGUCUCAAAAAAACAAACAAAAAAUAAACAAGCAUUUCCCUGCAUACCUCACAAGGUUCUUAUGAUAAUUUAUUAAAAGAUUGAUAGCAGCAGCAGCAGCAGCAGCAAGAUCUCAUUUCAGUUUCAGAUUCUGAGAAGCUGCUUUUGGUUUCUAUGGUUGGCUACCUUGAGGUCCCAGGCAAGGCCCAGAGAGUUACUUUAAAAGCCCCCAAAUCACUUAAAAGCCCUCAAGCAAUUUGGGCAUGGCCACAACCUGUAUUUCCCCAUUCAGAAGCAACAAGGUCUCCCAAAACAGAUGUAGUUGGAAAAAUUCUUGACAAAAUUCCUCCAAACCAGAAAUUCUCAAAACCAGACAUGUUGGCGCAUCAAAAUCAGUUCCCAGCAAUGAAUCAAAGCCUUAGAAUCUCAGGCACAGAAGCCAGAUGGGAGCUCAAAUCUUCAGGCAGAAUAUCUACGGCCUUAGGUUGCAAUAUCUGCUUUGAGUAGUGUUUACCAAAUAUCUCUAUGGGUUGCACUAAAAAUUCCAUAUGGUAUAUGUGUGGGAGAAUUACACGGGAAGGAUAAGUGUGGGAUGCAGGAUAGUGGUUGUGAGGGAGGUUGUGGGGAGGGGAAGAAAGAAAUGGGACUGGGAGAGGCACACAGUGGACUUCAGUGGUAUUGACAAUUACUAUUUUUAAAAAAGCUGAGUGGCAGGUAUAUGAUUAUUUUUAUGAUCCUGUAUAAUUACAUAUGUGUACAGACAUAUAUUUCAUAUGUGUGAAGCAUUUAAUAAUAAAAAGGGGAGAAAAGCAGAAAGGAGGCCCCAAAUCCAGAAAAGAUCCCACCUCGCUGCCUUCUAUUUGUCAAAGUGUAGAUCAGUGGGCAUAGGGCCACCUGGGAACACUGUUUCUGCUUUGGUCUAGGACAUAAUCUAGGCCUGGAAAACAGUCUGCUCGAUCAUUUAACAUUGCUCUAUUUCAAGUAAAAUGUCCUUGUAUGAUUUAUUCUCCAUGACACCAAUUUGCUACGAGGAUAUUUGGAGUUAACGUCUCUGGUUUGGUCCUGCCUGCCAAACACAUUCCCUAAGUGACUGUCUUUCAUGGUCAGAUGAGAGGUUUCUGGAAGUGCUAGUACUAUCUUCUCUUAGCUAAAGAGAGAAUCUUUUCUCUCAAGAUAUAAACAAGAGAAGCAUCAGUGGCGGCAGCUGCUGGCCCGGCACUGCCCCGUGCCAGCUCGCUAAGCACUUGGUCCCAGCUGGAGAGACUUGAUAGGACUUUGCCGUUCUGCCUGCCACAGCUGUUCACUUCUCAGGAAGGGAGUCCAGAAGCUAUGUGGCUGCCUGUGUGGUCAGACGUGGGUGAGAAGAUGAGGAUGGAUGCUUGCUCCUCUCAUGGAAACAGAUAACUUCCGUACCUGCCAAACCAAUGGCAGAGGAGCUGGGAAGCUCACAGGCAUUGCUGAGGCCUUUGAAGAUGUUAGCUGAGAAAGGCAGACCAGCCAGCAUGGAGCUGCCCUCCCUCCCACUCAGCGCCUUUCCUAGGCCAAGGACCAGGUGAAGGUGAUUGUCAAAGGCUGGACAGUGGUCAGGAGCGGGCUGGGAUGAGUGCUGGGCUUGUUAGCAGAGCUCUUAGCUUUUGAGUGACCUCUCUGGGUCCUACACUGUACUCCAGGGUCACAGUUAAGAUAUUUAGCAACCAGGAUGGCAUAGGCACCGGCCAAUUGGAAUGGAGAAGGGCUUUAUUGCUGGAGGUCUUAGCUGCACCUGGCCUGAGCUUUUAGGUGCUGGAUGGUAGAGCGAUGGGGAGGACCUGAGGGAAGGACCGGGGUGUGGGUGUGGGCAGGCCUUGGGGAGCUCAGAGCAUCCACUGUUCACCUAUCAGUACAAACCUCUUUCAACAUUCUACCAACCAGUGUUGCCACACUCCUGCUGGAUGUCAGGGCUGAAUGUUGGCUCUGCCAUGCCGUAUGAGAAAGGUGGAUUGGAGCCUCACACUUUAUGUGAAUCAGAAUCACUUGGGGAUAUUGUUAAAAACAGACACCCAGAACCCGCCUUCAAACUACUGAGUGAGACUCUCUAGGGCCCAGGCCAGGCUUACUACACUCCUAAGUCCUGAGUGUCCUGGAUCAGCUGAUCCCUAAGUAUUCGGCUGCGACUUUCUAGGGGGUUAUGAGGACUUGAGAGAUGCGGUCCUGCACAGUCUCUGGAGGGAAUGUGCCUAAUUCAGGGGCAGGUCACGUGGGUGAGUGAAGCAGGCUGCUGUGGCGCAGUAUGUUGAAGAAUGAAUGUUCAUUUAUUUGAAGCCGCCUUGACCCUGAUCCAGCCGCCUGGGUUGCUGCUGCCGGGGAAGGCAGGCCUGGUGUGGACGGACCCCCUGACUUUUCAAGACACACUGGAGGUCACUGAGCCAUGUUUUGAGUCAGUUCUGCAUCUCAUCAAGACACAGGUAAUCAGAAGAGGGGUUUGGAAACUCAAGAGCACAUAAGUGAACAAAACAUCAAGCUUGCUCUUAAAAGUUUUUCAAUCUUACGCAUGUUGAAAUGGCCUCACUCCAGUCUUGCUCGAAGUCUGCUGGGUAAACUGCAAGUUCUAACAGACUAAGAGGAAGUGCUUCAGUCACCUAAGGUCGUAUUUUAUUUUGUGCUUUUCCAAGCAGUGGGAUUAUGUAAUCACCUCGCAUUGUAGCAGUCUUGCUGUUCAUAAUCUUGCUAUUCAUGCAGUGGGGUAUAGAGAGGCAUUAAUUUAGGUCUUCAUGGAUCUCCUGAAUCCGCAAUGAUCAUUUGAAAGAAGAAUUCCGAGCAGCUUAGUGGUAGAGAUAAGACCCAACAUUACUUUGCUGAUGGAAUGGUGGAGGUGUCCUUUUCUGCUGGUCCCCAGAUAAGUAAGGAGACCCCAGGGGUGAAAAAACCACAGGAACACAGCUCAUCCCCAGGAAACUGGUGGACAAAUGAGCAAAGAUAUAUGUGCUAGGGGGUUUAACAUAAUGCUGUGGAAUAAACAGGGAAUUGGUUGAAUAAAUUAUUAUACACCCAUACCCAUACAAUGAAAAACUUUGCAGUCAUUAAAAUUGAUGUUUUUCUAUAAUUAAUAAUAUUGAGCGUUACUGAUAAUAUACCAUUAAGUGUAACAGAAGAGGUUAAGAAUAAUUAUGUAGACUAGAUUUUCAUUAUAAAUACAUAUGUAUGUUUUUUAUCUAGGGAAAAUGUUAGAUGACUAUAUGCCAAUAUUUUAGAAGUGGUUAUCUCUAAGUGGUGAGAUUUUUGAAUAUUGAAAAAACGCUUUUUUUCUAAGUGCUUAGCUGUGUUCUCUAACUUUUCUAUAAUAAAAUAAUUGUAUUGCUUAUUAAAAUUGGACAGUUAGAAAAUGAAUGAAGUUGGUGGAUGAGAGGUAAAAGGUAUGAGAGGAAUUUAGAAAGUAAGCCAAGCUGAGUAGGAUAAGCAAACUAUGCAACUAACUUUUUUGGGGAAGGUGUUCCCUACCUGAGAAAUAAGCACGUAAAAGCUGGAUGAGAAUGGGUUUCUGGGGAAUGACCCAAAUCUGUUAGACCCCCGGGGUUGGGUACAUCAGGGAACAAUAAUUGUUCCUCCAUACUUCUUCCUCUCAAUUUUCCAUUGUAAUAUCACAUUUUUCUGGGUACAUGACUACCUGGAAUAUUGGUCACAUUUUUAGCCUUUCUGGUGAUUAAGUCCAGGCCAGUGUGGGAGUAAGCAACCUUUAGGAAGCAUCCGUCCGGAGUUUUCUUUUCCUCUCCUCCAUCUUGCUAUGUGGAAUGCAGACAUGAUCCCUAGAGCUCUAGCUGCCAUCUUGAAUACUGAGGACGAGGGCCACACCUAAUAGGGAAGGGGCCUGGGUUUCAGAGCUUCCACACCCAUCCUGGAUUACUUCACAUCCAGACUUUUGGUGGAGAGCUAAAUAAACUUCCACCUUGCUGAAUGAACUGUGAGGCUUUUUUUUUAUUAUUUAUGAAAAACAGAAAAGAGAAAAGGAAAGAAAGGGAGAAUGAGAAGAUAAAGAAGAAAAGAUCUAAGCCCCUUUAGAUUUGCAUAAUGAUAAUAUCAAUAGCUAACCUUUACUGAGUGCUUCUUUCUUGUGCCAGAUUCUUUGCUAAGUGCUCUAAUUCUCUUUGCUAAGCACUCUCUAAUUCUCACAACAAUCUUUGAGGUGUGUAUUAUUUCAAAUGUCAAUUUUUAGAUUAAAAAACUGGGGAUCAGAAAAUGAUAUGGUUUGGCUGUGUCCCCACCCAAAUCUCAACUUGAAUU